This 253-nucleotide ribosomal RNA is filed under the name uncultured bacterium. Its description in RNAcentral is "partial 16S ribosomal RNA". It matches the Rfam family "Bacterial small subunit ribosomal RNA", at positions 524 to 776 of the family's 1533-position model. The record is from RNAcentral.
UACAGAGGUGGCAAGCGUUGUUCGGAAUUACUGGGCGUAAAGGGCGCGUAGGCGGCCUUCUAAGUCAGACGUGAAAUCCCCGGGCUCAACCCGGGAACUGCGUCCGAUACUGGAAGGCUUGAAUCCGGGAGAGGGAUGUGGAAUUCCAGGUGUAGCGGUGAAAUGCGUAGAUAUCUGGAGGAACACCGGUGGCGAAGGCGGCAUCCUGGACCGGCAUUGACGCUGAGGCGCGAAAGCCAGGGGAGCAAACGGG